Molecule: long non-coding RNA, 2541 nt
Filed under: Ailuropoda melanoleuca (giant panda)
Lineage: Eukaryota; Metazoa; Chordata; Mammalia; Carnivora; Ursidae
Description: lncRNA (ENSAMEG00000031130.1)
Source: RNAcentral
AUGUUAAUUACAGCAUAUCCAAGAAUUGAACUUAACUGCGUCCCUGAAUAUGUUUGGAAGAAAUUCAACAGAGUCACUUGCUAUUUGAAAGCCUCUGUGGUCAGAGGUGUUGCUGCAAAUCCAGCCACGCCCACCCCAUCCAGCCACGCCCACCUCCCACCCAGCCACACCCACCCCCAUCUAGCCACGCCCACCUCCUCUAGAAGAGCCGGAGCAGCAGCUGGAGAGGAAUGGGAGGCACCUCAAGCAAGGUCAGGGAAACUGUAUGAGAGGUCCCUGGCCUUGAUCGGUGGCUGGCAACCCCUUGGUGCCUCCAGCACCUUCCUGGCUAAGGAAAGAAAGCCCUUGGCUACUUGGGGCUACUUUUGUCACCCUCUUUUUAAUACAGUCUUACAUAUGGUUUCUCUGUGCCCCAGUUUUAUCAUCUGCAAAAUGGGGAUCAUCGGAAUGAUAAUGUGAGUUAGGGUCUGUAAAGGGGUUGGAAUGGUGCCUGGCACACAGUAGGUGCUCAGUAAACAACAUCAGUGCUUCAGUGUCACUGCUGCAUUGUCACUGAGGAUAAGGGGUAGGAUGGAAAAGCAGGACGGGGCGGGGGGGGGGGCACCUGGAACCAGCCCCAGGGGCAGGUGGGACCCUCCACAGCAGUCUUUGCCUGGUGCCAUCUGGAUGGACCCUCAGGGGAGAAACUGAGGCCCCACCCAUGCCCCACCUCAUCUCGGUGUCCCUACCCCAUCCCCUCCAAGACCCAGAGAGGCCCCCUGGGAAAGUGGCACCGUGGGGACCAUGCUGCCCAGCACAAGUGGGGACCAUGCUGCCCAGCACAAUUACCGUUUUCAUCCUCAUUAAACCACAUUUUCAUUCUAAUUAGAGUUUCACUGCCUCCCAGAGAGAAGGGCCGAUUACUUUUCAGCAUCAUUACCAGCCUCUCCCUCCCUCCCUCCCUUCCCACCCUGCCCAGGUGCCUGUUCCACACCGGCCAGCCUCUCUCUCUCUUCUCCCACCCUCCCUCCCUCUUGCCAUCUUUUCACAGACUAGAGAGAAGCAUGGGACGUGUAUUAGUCUCCUACUGGGUGUGGAGCUUGGUGUUAGGGACCUUCACCUACAGCGUUGCCACCUUACUUUUGCCCUGCUCUAAUUGAUUCUUUUUCUUCAACACAUCCCCCCUUCCAAACAUGCCCUGUGAUUUAUUUGUUCCGUUUAUCAUCUCUCUCUGCUUUCCCAGAAUGCCAGCACCCACCCGUAUCCCCGCAGCACUCCUGGGCAUGCUGACUCCCUUCUUCCAACAGCCAGCCCCUGGCAGCUGGACCAGUCCCGGGGCCAGCAGAAAGUUCUGGAGAGCAAACACACUGCAGCCCUUGCCCACUGACUGAUGGGGAGUGCUGGAUAAAUACUCUGGCUCCCCGCCGCCUGGUGGGAAAGCUCUGAGGGGUGCCCUCAACCUGUUGUCUCAGCACCCCCACCAGGUCCGAGCCCCAUUUGCUAGCAGUGGAGACUCACUGGUGAACACACCCUCACUGACGGCCCUCCCUUCCCUUCCCCGCUUCCUCUCUCCCCUGCCCGUGCUUUCUGGGGUCACCUCCCACUGGAAUCCACUGCACCCAGGAUCCUUCCCUCCUCCCCUCCUUGAGGUUCAGGGAAGUCCAAGAAAGUUUCUUCCCUACACAGCACGCAAAGGAUGGGUUACAAACACUUCGGAAGCUCUCCUGAGAACAGAAGUGCCGUUUCAACCAGACUGCAGCCUCCAUGGGCAGCUCGGACCCACGUUUGAAACAAACUCUUGGGGUGCUCUCUUUCAGAGUGGGGGUGAACUUCCUGGCACUUUUGGGGGGGUGCUUGGCAGUAUGCAUUAAAAUGGGCAGCGUUCCAACCCUCCACCAUCAGCUCCCCUUCUGGGAAUAAGAGCUCUCGAGCACGGAGGUGGGAGCCAGAGUGGUUUUGGCAGGCUUGUUUGCGACCAAGCAGAGCGAGAAACAGCCCAUGUGUCCACCGACAAAGGAUGAGGAAUUCAGCUACGGUGCUGUGGGACGCCACGUGACUUCAGAAAAAAACAAGAUAGAUGCCUAUCUUAGGUUUUUAGGGCUGACAAAACAAAGUACCAUAAACUGGGUGGCUGAAAACAAGAGGAAUUGAUUCUCCCACACUUCUGGCCCCAGAAGUCCGAAGUCAGGUGUGGGCAGGGCUGGCUCCUCCUGGAGACUCAGGGGGAGAAUUCCUACCGGCCUCUGGUGGCUCCAGUGGCCUCCCACAGCCGGUGGCGUUCUUUGGUUUGUGACUACAUCUCUCUGAUCUCUGCCUCUGUCUUCACGUGGCCUUCUCUGGGUUCCUGUCCGUCCCCCACCCCUUUUAAAGAUUUUAUUUAUUUAUUUGACACAGAGAGAGACAGCCAGUGAGAGAGGGAACACAAGCAGGGGGAGUGGGAGAGGAAGAAGCAGGCUCCCAGUGGAGCAGGGAGCCCGAUGUGGGGCUCGAUCCCAAGACCCUGGGACUAUGCCCUGAGCCGAAAGCAGAUGUUUAAAGACUGAGCCACCCAGGUGCCCCCCC